AUAAUUUUUAUUUUUCAAUUACAGUUGACAUACAAUAUUAUGUUCGUUUCAGAUGUAUAACCCAGUGAUUAGACACUCAUAAGUUAAU
Molecule: long non-coding RNA, 88 nt
Organism: Myotis brandtii (Brandt's bat)
Lineage: Eukaryota; Metazoa; Chordata; Mammalia; Chiroptera; Vespertilionidae
Exons: 3
Source: RefSeq, a predicted model, not a curated record